UCACUUUUUCUUCUCUACUGAUGUCUGAAAACUCAGCAAAUAUUCAACAGAGAUAAAACUUGUGAUGCGAGUCAACAAGUUUUACAGCACCUUUUCACACCAAAUCCUCUCAGCAUGCAGUCAACAAGUAGCAGUAGUAAGAACUAUAGAAAUUCAACGACUCUAAUCCAAGUUAGGUACCACCAGCCUUCUUCUGGUCACAUAAGUACCAUCACAUUCAGUUGAUCAACUACUCUAAUCCAAGCCAAAAAAGAGUGUUUCCCUAACAAAGCACGCUUCACUUGUCAGCCUCACCGUGAGCUUUCAUUAAUUCCCUGGCCUUCCUGCACAGAGUUAACCAAAAUGAAACAAAUUUCAGCUGGAAUCCCAGCACCAUCAGAUUUAUGGAAGGAUCACUCGGCAGUCGGCACGCUGGUCCAGUGUGCAGCUGCUGGUCAUUAGUAUGGAAGUACUCCCUCCGUUCGGAAUUACUUGUCUUGGAAAUGGAUGUAUCUAGAACUAAAAUACGUCUAGACACAUUCAUUUCCGCGACAAGUAAUUCCGAACGGAGGGAGUAUAUGUUGUUCAUGCACGCAAGACGUGUACUCAAAUCAAAAGAGAUAAAUACAAGACAGAAGAUUACCGUAGCUCUCUCUCGACCUCUACGUUUCCAGGAUCCAACUUUUGAGCGUCCAGGAGAGCAUCACAAGCUUGCUUAUACUCCUAGGCACAGAGCACGUCAAAGGAGGAACAUGAGCGACUAUAUAGACUCAACAGAGUGGGGAAACACAAUGGCAAACUGGACCAUGUAGUAACUCACUUUGAGUAGCAUGUGAGCUGCAGCCUGACGGUAGCAAGCUUUCACCCAGUUAGGUCGCAGCAUUCUGCAUCUGAGAGCAUCUGACAGAGC
This 889-nucleotide long non-coding RNA is filed under the name Triticum aestivum (bread wheat). Its description in RNAcentral is "long non-coding RNA (TAES_LNC023345)". The stretch from base 446 to 560 matches the Rfam family "MIR1120/MIR1122 microRNA precursor family". The record is from RNAcentral. Lineage: Eukaryota; Viridiplantae; Streptophyta; Magnoliopsida; Poales; Poaceae.